Molecule: ribosomal RNA, 791 nt
Filed under: uncultured bacterium
Lineage: Bacteria
Description: bacterial SSU rRNA
Rfam family: Bacterial small subunit ribosomal RNA
Source: RNAcentral
UNUGACUUGAGUGCAGAAGGGGAGAGUGGAAUUCCAUGUGUAGCGGUGAAAUGCGUAGAUAUAUGGAGGAACACCAGUGGCGAAAGCGGCUCUCUGNUCUGUCACUGACGCUGAGGCUCGAAAGCGUGGGUAGCGAACAGGAUUAGAUACCNUGGUAGUCCACGCCGUAAACGAUGAGUGCUAGGUGUUAGGCCCUUUCCGGGGCUUAGUGCCGGAGCUAACGCAAUAAGCACUCCGCCUGGGGAGUACGACCGCAAGGUUGAAACUCAAAGGAAUUGACGGGGGCCCGCACAAGCGGUGGAGCAUGUGGCUUAAUUCGAAGCAACGCGAAGAACCUUACCAGGUCUUGACAUCCCGAUGCUAUUCUUAGAGAUAGGAAGUUACUUCGGUACAUCGGAGACAGGUGGUGCAUGGUUGUCGUCAGCUCGUGUCGUGAGAUGUUGGGUUAAGUCCCGCAACGAGCGCAACCCUUAUUGUUAGUUGCCAUCAUUAAGUUGGGCACUCUAGCGAGACUGCCGGUAAUAAACCGGAGGAAGGUGGGGAUGACGUCAAAUCAUCAUGCCCCUUAUGACCUGGGCUACACACGUGCUACAAUGGUCGGUACAACGAGUUGCGAGCCGGUGACGGCAAGCUAAUCUCUGAAAGCCGAUCUCAGUUCGGAUUGGAGGCUGCAACUCGCCUCCAUGAAGUCGGAAUCGCUAGUAAUCGCGGAUCAGCACGCCGCGGUGAAUACGUUCCCGGGCCUUGUACACACCGCCCGUCACACCACGAGAGUUUGUAACACCCGAAGU